This 516-nucleotide ribosomal RNA is filed under the name Russula sp. RNAcentral describes it as "SSU rRNA". It matches the Rfam family "Bacterial small subunit ribosomal RNA", at positions 431 to 975 of the family's 1533-position model. Lineage: Eukaryota; Fungi; Basidiomycota; Agaricomycetes; Russulales; Russulaceae. The record is from RNAcentral.
UUGAUAACAUAAGGGAAAAUAAUGAUAUUACCUUAUUAUUAGUGUCGUCCAAAACUGGUGCCAGAAGACUCGGUAAGGCCAGAGACAUAAACGUUAAUCGUCUUAAUCAGGCGUAAAGGGUUUGUAGGCGGCUUUAAAAUUUACUAAAAAAUAAAUAAAAUAAUAAGUAAAGAAUAAAAGCUAGAAUCAAAUAGAGGAUAUAUGAAAGAAUGCUUAGAGUAGGUCUGAUAUCCUUAGAUACUAAGUAGAAUAUUAAAGGCGAAAGCUUUUUUCCAUUAAUGAUUGACGCUCAGAAACGAAGGUGAGGAUAGGAAAUAGGAUUAGAUACCCAGAAUACCCCUCUCUGUCAACGAUGAAUGGUAGUUAUUAGUAAAAAUUUAUUAAUGGCAAUGUUAACACGAUAACCAUUCCGCCUUGUGAGUACAACUGCAAAGUUGAAAACAAAAAAAUUAGUCGGUUUCGGAGCAAACGAAGUGAAGCAUGUUAUUUAAUUCGAUAAUCCGCAAAAAUUUUACU